GGCCUUUUGGAGAUUUAUAUAAAAGGUUGGGCCUGCCCGGUGAUCUGAAAUGGUUUAACGGCUGCGAUUGAAACCGUACUAAGGUAGCAUAAUAAUUUGCCCUUUAAUUGGGGGAGAGAAUGAAUGGUUUGACGGUAAAAAAGCUGUUUUAAAAAUAAAAAAAGAAGUUAACUUUUAAGUGAAAAGGCUUAAGUUUUUAUAAAAGACGAGAAGACCCCGUCGAGCUUAAUUAGAAUAACUUAAGUGUAGGUUAUUUAAAAUUUUAUUGGGGCAAUAGAAAAUGAAAUGAAUCAUUUUUUUUAUUAUAAGGAUCCAGUUUUGACUGAAAAAAGCAAAAGCUACCGCGGGGAUAACAGGGUAAUUUUUUCUGAGAGUUCAUAUUUAAGAAGAAGUUUGCUACCUCGAUGUUGGAUUAGAAUUUCUUUAUGCUUGC
Molecule: ribosomal RNA, 433 nt
Filed under: Corbicula largillierti
Lineage: Eukaryota; Metazoa; Mollusca; Bivalvia; Venerida; Cyrenidae
Description: partial 16S ribosomal RNA
Rfam family: Bacterial large subunit ribosomal RNA
Source: RNAcentral